Molecule: ribosomal RNA, 642 nt
Filed under: Chryseobacterium sp.
Lineage: Bacteria; Pseudomonadati; Bacteroidota; Flavobacteriia; Flavobacteriales; Weeksellaceae
Description: bacterial SSU rRNA
Rfam family: Bacterial small subunit ribosomal RNA
Source: RNAcentral
AGCCGAGCGGUAGAGUCUCUUCGGAGACUUGAGAGCGGCGCACGGGUGCGGAACACGUGUGCAACCUGCCUUUAUCUGGGGGAUAGCCUUUCGAAAGGAAGAUUAAUACCCCAUAAUAUAUUGAUUGGCAUCAANCGAUAUUGAAAACUCCGGUGGAUAGAGAUGGGCACGCGCAAGAUUAGAUAGUUGGUGAGGUAACGGCUCACCAAGUCUGCGAUCUUUAGGGGGCCUGAGAGGGUGAUCCCCCACACUGGUACUGAGACACGGACCAGACUCCUACGGGAGGCAGCAGUGAGGAAUAUUGGACAAUGGGUGAGAGCCUGAUCCAGCCAUCCCGCGUGAAGGACGACGGCCCUAUGGGUUGUAAACUUCUUUUGUAUAGGGAUAAACCUUUCCUCGUGAGGGAAGCUGAAGGUACUAUACGAAUAAGCACCGGCUAACUCCGUGCCAGCAGCCGCGGUAAUACGGAGGGUGCAAGCGUUAUCCGGAUUUAUUGGGUUUAAAGGGUCCGUAGGCGGAUCUGUAAGUCAGUGGUGAAAUCUCACAGCUUAACUGUGAAACUGCCAUUGAUACUGCAGGUCUUGAGUGUUGUUGAANUAGCUGGAAUAAGUAGUGUAGCGGUGAAAUGCAUAGAUAUUACUU